UACGUAUGGUGCAAGCGUUAUCCGGAUUUACUGGGUGUAAAGGGAGCGCAGGCGGCACGGCAAGCCUGAUGUGAAAGCCCGCGGCCCAACCGCGGGACUGCAUUGGGAACUACCGGGCUGGAGUGCCGGAGAGGUAGGCGGAAUUCCUAGUGUAGCGGUGAAAUGCGUAGAUAUUAGGAGGAACACCAGUGGCGAAGGCGGCCUACUGGACGGCGACUGACGCUGAGGCUCGAAAGCGUGGGGAGCAAACAGG
This 253-nucleotide ribosomal RNA is filed under the name uncultured bacterium. RNAcentral describes it as "partial 16S ribosomal RNA". It matches the Rfam family "Bacterial small subunit ribosomal RNA", at positions 524 to 776 of the family's 1533-position model. The record is from RNAcentral.